This 1197-nucleotide long non-coding RNA is filed under the name Medicago truncatula (barrel medic). Its description in RNAcentral is "long non-coding RNA (MTRU_LNC006590)". The record is from RNAcentral. Lineage: Eukaryota; Viridiplantae; Streptophyta; Magnoliopsida; Fabales; Fabaceae.
UUUUCUUAAGCUACAUAAAAAAUCUAUCAAUUUGUCUUAUAAAUAAUGACGAAGAAAAGUGUUUCAUCAAUUUUUCUAUUUUUUUUAAACACAAUUCCUUUUUUUUACCUCUCUAACUAGUGACCUUUACGGAACAUGAUAUUGUGACCCUUCAAAUUAUGAUAAUGAUGACAACUUAAGAAUGCCUUUUGUCUUCAAAAUAACCAUUAACAGUCUUAUUUUAGUGUUAAAGUACGCCUUCAAGUGUAUUUGUGAUCUUGUGGUAAACAUUUUGUAACCUUUUUAACUUUUUUUUUUUAAUUUUGUUAGUGAACUUCUGCUAUGCAUUUGGUGCUCGUAUCAUAUUUUGAUUUGUACUCAUCCAAUCAAUUUGAUUCUUGCACCUUUAAAGUCUAAUUAAAUUACCUAAACUCUUAUGUUCAGGUCAAAGUCUAAUUUAUUCACAUUCCAUGUCUAAAUUGAGUGAAACCAAAGCUUUUGAAUUCUUAAAAUCUAUACCUACAUUUCUUAUGAAGAUGCUUAAACCAAAUUUUGUAAUUUAAACCGUGAUUUUGGGCAAAUUUUGUUGCACAACGCAAUCAACUCGUUUGUGUGAACUAUUGCACAAUGAAAACACGUCAAGUAUGAUCAAUUUUGUCCAUCUAAGGCUUUUGCUCGUCUUGCGAGCCAACAUAAAACCUUGCUCACAUGUGCGGCAGGACUGCUCUCAUGUGCAACGAUGUGCAAAACUAGACAACAUUUAAGGGUUUUACAUGAGAUAUUACCUUUUUCAUUCAAAUUAUUGCAUGAAAGUUAUAGGCAAACCUGGCCUCACAUAACCAUUCUCUAUAACCUUCAAGAACCUUCGUUCCUUCAUUGAUUCUGGAUUAAUCUUAUCAUUCUCAUGCAUUAGAAAGCCAAAUCUCACCAUAGAAAUUCCUGAUAUUGUGAAUUUUAUUUUCAUAUGCAAAUGUUAAUCGUAAGUACACUGUCAGAGGGGAGGGGAAAUGUUGGCAGCAAAGAUCGAACCCUGAACCUCCAUCUUAAACUCUUUAAAUGGGUAAGUUUCAUUCAUCCCCAAAUUCAUGAUUGUGUCCUUUGAGUAUAGUUUCUUUUUAGUUCUUGAUUUUAUCCAUUGAAAAGAGGGAAAUUAAUGAUUUUAUCAAUCGUUAAAUGUUAACCAUUAUAGGUUAGAAAUGACUAAAGUUAAACAAUGCU